Long non-coding RNA from Dreissena polymorpha, 217 nucleotides. RefSeq lists it as uncharacterized. The transcript is spliced from 3 exons. The record is from RefSeq and is a predicted model, not a curated record. Lineage: Eukaryota; Metazoa; Mollusca; Bivalvia; Myida; Dreissenidae.
GGUGCAGCAACGUGAAUACUUCUAAGAUCAUCGAGCAUCCGUACUUCUGCCACAUUGGAGUCCAAUGCAACAGUGAUGGAACUAUAGGUGUCCCACAAGGUUGCCCGGACAACCAAUGUUUUAAUAUAAACAGCUCAGGAUGCUCGAACUGUACAUGCGCAAAACAGGGACCAACCACUACAACCACGACUACACCAUCUCCUUAUGACGAACGUAU